UGGCGCCAUUUCCGAGAAGUUCUGUGACCUG
Molecule: non-coding RNA, 31 nt
Filed under: Homo sapiens (human)
Lineage: Eukaryota; Metazoa; Chordata; Mammalia; Primates; Hominidae
Source: RNAcentral